Molecule: long non-coding RNA, 8438 nt
Organism: Mustela lutreola (European mink)
Lineage: Eukaryota; Metazoa; Chordata; Mammalia; Carnivora; Mustelidae
Exons: 3
Source: RefSeq, a predicted model, not a curated record
UCAGAUGCUUCAUGAAAUUCAUUCAACUUAGAGCUGUAAUCUACAGCUAGGAGAAAAUGUUUUCCCGUCGUGUUGCCUAUUGAUAAUUUGGUCUUUCUCAUGAGCACCGUAACUGGGUAGUAGAGGGAAGAUAUUUACUCCUAUCAGAUUCAAACUUAAUAUAACACGAGCUUUUAAUGGUCCUUCUAGGUAAUGCCCACGCUUGGAGAGAAAAUGUUCAGUGGAUCAGAUCCUCCCAUGUUCCAAGCCUCACCCUGGCCCCUCUCUAAGAUGGCAUCUGGGUGCCUGGGUGAGGGAGGCCAUUUGGGCCACCAUGGGGGUGAGGGGAAUAGCCUCUCUCUAACUGGAUGUGGUUGGCCCUGCUGGCACAGGCACGUGAGAUUUUUUCCUUGUAGUCCUUCAUGAUGAACUUGGCCUCUGUGGGAUCUCACUGGCGUUUGGAUCUCCCGAGUCUGUCUUCCUUGCAGCCCCGGCCAUAGUCGGCCUCAUGGCCAGUUCAGUUCCAAAUCCUCCUCUCUGGGGGCUCCUGGACCCUCAGGGCAUAGUCAAAUGUCAAGGAGCAGUCAAGCAAGUAGAUGUCAAGGCCUCCUCUGCUCAGCCAUUCUGCACAUUCUGGUUUAUUCUGACAUGACUUGAAGUUGGUUCAGAGAAGUUUGAGGUCCCAAAGGGAGACAGAGGUGCUUUCGAUGUCCCCUUACUGAACCGAUCUUCUCGGGUCUAGGGCAGAGCCUGGAGGCAGGAAACUGGAGGGCAUGGGCCUCAGCACCAUGAAUCCAGCCAGCAUAGAAAUAUUUGAUUCUACUUACACAUUAACUUUUCAUCACCGUGGUUUUUAGACGACCGGAUGGGAGAGCCUUUGAAGUCACAGUGUGUCUGACGGUGUCGGAGUCUUUCCCCCCUCUCUGCCUCCUCUGAAGUGGAGCAAGGCUUCUCGGGAGAGGGAGAUGGCCUCAGAUGCGGAGGCAGACACACACGUCAUCACAUCCUCGCCACACCUUCUGUGGCUGGUGUGGAUGUUUAAGGCAAACCAGGGUAUGGUUUAUGCUGCCCGGGGGUGUCGAGAAUCGUUUCAGAGAGAUGGAAACAGACCUUCCCAUGAAACAGGUGUGAGUACACGUUAAACUGGAUUGACAUGAACAUGUCUUGCCAAACACUGUGUCUUGUUGUUGAGGGCUGGGUCACGUGUCUUCUUCAGUCAAAUGCUUCGACCCACUGAUUUUUUUUUUUUUUUUUAAGAUUUUAUUUAUUUAUUUGACAUAGAGCAAGAGCAAGAGCAAGAGUGAGAGAGAGAUCAAGCAUGGGCAGGGGAUGGGGCAGAGGGUGGGGGAGAGGCAGACUCCCUGCUGAGCAGGGAGCCUGGUGUGAGACUUGAUCCCAGGACUCUGGGAUCAUGACCUGAGCUGAAGGCAGAUACUUAAUGACUGCCCUUGACCCACUGAUUUUUAUACUUGAACUAACUUUAAGAUUCUUCUGGGCACAAAUCACAUACAAACUAUCUAAUUUGGACCUGAGUAUUCUAAUUGAAGGCUCUGCAUGGGUGUAAAUCAAUGUUGCAACUUUUUAUUGCUAAUCUUGAAUUUUUUUUUUUAAAGAUUUUAUUUAUUUACUUGACAGAGAGAGAUCACAAGUAGACAGAGAGGCAGGCAGAGAAAGAGAGAGGGAAGCAGGCUCCCUGCUGAGCAGAGAGCCCGAUGCAGGACUCGAUCCCAGGACCCUGAGAUCAUGACCUGAGCCGAAGGCAGCAGCUUAACCCACUGAGCCACCCAAGCGCCCAAUCUUGAAUUUUUUUAAACAAAGUAAAAUAUAUAAGAUGGUUGGGCACUAAACUUGCAAAGCAUUAUGUUUGGUUUGAUGCCUGCUUGUGACUUCGUCAUGCCAGCUCUUUUCCUCUAGUUUGCCUGAUGCAGACUUACAAUUCCAUCCAAAGCAAAUAUAGCAGGAUUCCACUAGAGGGAGGAAAAGAACCAAUUUUGAACAUUUUCAAGGGAGCUGGUCUUGUGCAGAGAUAAUCACUUCCCUCAUUACACACAAACCGUGCUUGGAAAAACAACAGUGAUUUCUUUCAUUUUUAUUUAAAUGUCUGCUCUAAUGGGAGAACAAAGAACAAAACAUGGAACAUUUCUAGGUCAAAGUAGCAUGUCUUUAAAGGUGGCUAAUUUCUUGCUUCAAGAAUUCUAAAUACAGCCCCGGGGUCAGAAAAAUAUUCAAAGAAAGACCUUAGUGAUCAGCGAACUCAAUCUCUUUCUUUAACAGUCGUGGAAAAUGAGUCCAAGAGGAAGACUUGUGCUGCCUCGGGUCGUAGGGUUCGUUAGCAGCAGAGGCAAGAAUGGAAGGAAGUUUUCGGGAUCUUUCUCCAGGGCUCUUUGUAACACAGUAGACCGUGUCAGCAACGCUGAUGUGUUGAAUGUCAUAGGCACCUCCAUAGACAUAUUUGUGUACAUCCAUAUGCAAGCAUACAUUUUCUUCCUUGUGAGGUUUAUGAUUAGAGAUCUGGCUUUAAGGAACAUUCUGGGGCUUUUAUGUUCUUGUUUAUUUGCUUUUAAAACCUCCCCUCCUGAGCCCCUUCCUUAUAUAACUCAAAAUGCAACCGGCACUGUGCACGUAGGGUAUGGCUAAUGGAUUCCACAAGGUCUGAGCUCUUGUAAUGACUGCCCAAUUACCAAAAUACCAUGGUUUAGAAAACACAUCGUAAACUUCCCUGUGAAGCCUCCAAGAUUUUUAUUAACAUACGUGAUAUUAAUGGUUGUGCUUAUUCUGCCAUAAUUGAGGGCGUGUCCCAUUUCUCUGAAAUAAUAAGGCAUUUGGAGGAACUAUCAAAUUUCACUUUUGGCUGAACCUGGUCUAUAAGCUCUUCCAACUGUAAUGCAUUUUGUGUUCAUCUUUGGGGUAGGAAAGAUUAUUUUCUGAGUUUUAAUUGGAAGAAAAAAAAAAAAAAAAGCCCUCCCAAAUAUUCUAGUCAGCUGUUAAAAAAAGAAAAGCAACCCCAAAACGUGGAUUUGUUUGAAGGCAUGGAAUAUUUCUUUCAGCAUUUUCUAUAGUCAGAGCUUUAUUAAGGAGUUUUCCGCAUGCUGCCAAAUAUUCUGACUCGGGGCUCUGGUCUCUUUCUACCUGGAGAAAACUUGCAUAAAAGACGAGGUUAGGGUUUGGUAGAAAAUUCGGAGACGGGUUUCAGGAACAGGGGUCGUUCUUUCAAUAAACGACGUGCGUGAGUAAGACGUGAUGCGGGAGCGAACGGGCUGCAGCAGGUGUCGGAAUCGGCCUCCACUGAGCGGCCACAUGACCUUGCGUAAGUCCCUCUGCUUGUGAAACCAGAGUUCAGGCUGGAAGGGGUCCCAGAGCUCGCCCUUCCCCAGGCCGUGAGGUCAUCAUUGCGGAGUGGAUGGAACUCUGUCAAGUCCUAACAGGAUCCCACCGGGGUCGGCUCUUUCUAUAGCACCUCCAUACUGUUUCACGAACUUGGGAAGCACGCGGUGGGGAGGUAAGGUGAUGCCAAACGCCCUUGCUCCCACAGAACUUUGAGGUGAAUGAGUCUUUUAUUUAAAAAAUCCCUUGAAAUUGCCUAGUGGAGUCUAGUGCGACAUCGUGACUGAGGAGGGACCAGUUCUCAGGGGGCCAUCACCACGGCCCCUGGAGCACCCAUUCUGCGUGCAGCUGCACUGGCCUCUUGGCUGGCGCCCCCCGCCCCCCCCCACUGCCCCCAGUUGUCUACUUGUCGCUCGGCACCGAUCUGAUCCUGCAAGCCGCCUCGAAUGGAUACCACCCUCGGGGUCCUUAUUUGGGUCUUCUUUCAAGUCCGUUUGGCGUUACCAUCGCUCAGUCUAAGAUGCCAUCCCCUCUUUCUCUUCCUCUUAGCGCUACCUGUCUCUACCCCUGACUGUCCAUGCCUGUGUCUCUGUCCACAUCUCCAUCUGUCAUACCCAUCCGUAACUGCAUCUGCACCUACAUAUCCACACCAAGAACUGUAUCUACAACAACAUUUGUAACCACACCCAUAACUGUAUCCAUAUAUGUUUGUAUUUCUAUAACUCUAUCUGUAACUUAUAUGUGCUUAUUUGUACCUGUGUCCUAGAAUGUACACGGCAUGAAGACAGAGGCUUGGCUUGGCUCCUUGCUGUCACCCCAGUGCCCUGAACAGGGCCAGCAUAGAACAGGAGUCCAAUAAGUAUUUGUCCAAUGCAGGAACGGAUCUCCUGCCUGUCAGACUCAGGCUGGGAUUUGGGUUGUGGCUUUUGUUAGCUCUGUGGACAAGUGACUUAACUCUAGUGUGACUUUAUUUUCCAAUUUCUCCACCGAGGACAUCAUCGUGUUCCUCGGAUAUCUGAUGCGAGAGAGAAAUCAGGCACCGUGAUGAAAAAUCCUUGCCCAGAAAAGGCACCGUGUUGAGGUCCGCUUCCUUCUUUCUCCUUCCAUCGCGCUGAGCACCUCUGACGCUCACACAUCUCUGGGCUGGAAGGGAAGCACAGCUCUUCACAGUCACGGCAGACUUAUUUUGGGAGUCGGCAAACCUGCUCUGGAAAAUGAUCGACCUACACUUUGUUUUCUACAGGAGGCUCGCUACAGUGCAGAGCAAGUUUAUCCCAGAGUUUAAGCAUGUCACCAGCCAGCCCAAGGUCCUAGGGCUCGUUCACAGGAAAGCCUGGAAUCAUCUACAGCCAGCGUAGCCUCGCAUCGCCCGUGCUACGAUGCCACAAGUGAUGGCAGAGUCCGUCUCGAUGACGCUCUAAGUACGUGAACUAGAAAGCAAGUACCUAGGUCUGCAGAACAUUGCAUUUGUGCGGCCCUUCGUGGUUGCAGAGGGUACUUUAAAAGGCCUCUCAGUGCGUCCCGAUUUCUAUCCUUUUGUAGCUGAAGCAGGAGAAGUUACAGACCUCCCCGCCGUCCCAGUUGAUGAGGAGUGGAGCCUGGAGCUCACUUCGGGACCCAGGACCGUAGAUCUUCGCUCUUUCCGCUCUUUUCCUUGGCCUUCCCGGGAGGAAAGUUCUGGUCGCGCAGACUUGUUUAUUCAGGCACAGAGUCUCUGCUAAGUGCCGGUGACUCUAGAAGUAGUUGCGAGCACACAGCCUCAGACAGACAGGGACCCGGCCCCCCUCUCUGGGGGAGGGACACAAGAAUGAAGAAGGAACCUUCGGAGGAUACCAGCGCCAACCGGGAAGCGUUUGAGGGAGCCUGGGAGCCCCAAGCUGGGGGAAGCGUUGAGAUUUCAGAUUGGGUUUUGUGUGAAGUCUUCUCUGCUCCGGUACUAUUUGAGCCCCUGAGGGGAGUGGGGAGGCAGCUGUCCAGUUAUCAGGGAACAGGGGCCCGGAAGAGGCAGUGGCCCGGGCAAAGCUCCUGAGAUAAUGAACUUUGCUUGAUGUGUCCAGGGCUCCGAAGGCGGCGAGAGGGGCUGUGUCAGCCAGGGAGCCGAUGGCUCCACGCGGAGGGGACAAGGCCUGGCUGGUGCCGCAAACCUGAGGCUUUGGUGCCCGCUGGCAGCUGCAGAAAAGUUUCUUUUAAAGAGCCAAUUCUGUGUCGUUGAGGCACGCUGUGUUUCCUGAGGUCGGUGAAGCCGGGGGACGGACGCCAGCUCCGGGCCUUUGUCCUCGGAGUGUCGGGACCCGGCCGGCCUGGGGGAGUUCGUGGCGUGAACCUGUGUCCCGCCUUCCCUUGAAGACCCGAGUUGAGCCUGCUCUUGGCUUCCCGUAGUCUUUCCCCAGCGAUUCAGCUCUUCCCGGCAGCUGCCACACACGGCUGCCGUGUUUCCCAGAAGAGCCCGGGUUCUCCGGGUCCACACACGCGUUAUCCGCAGCGCAGUGAAAUGUCACAAAGUCACACACGCCGUUUUAAUUAAUAGGAUUCGUAAGUGCUCACUGGGAGUCAGCACUAGAGAAGCCACUUUUUUCUUCCCGACAUUUCUGCAGCACGCCCCAACAUUUGCAAUAUAUUGUUCUUUUACUGUCCCGCUAAGACUGUAAGUAGCCGAGGAGAGACGCCCCUUCCCUCCCCCUCCCUCUUUCCCUCGAGCUCUCUCUCUCUCUCUUUUCUUACUGUUUUCUUUCUUCUUUCAGGAGGAAAUGGAAAGUCAAGUGGUAUUGAGUACGGUGGGAAGUGCUGGAAUUCUAGAGGCCCAGGCAGCUUUUUCUGGGAGGUCUGGCCAGACCCCUCGAGAAAGGGGCAUCAGCACCGGGUCAGGCUGUGGGGGUGAGGCAGCAGGGGCUUGCUGAGUCUGCAGCUGCUCUCGGAGGGGGGGUCCUCUUUGCCCCCAGGGACACGCUGGUGGUGGGUGGGGCCUCUGGCAAGCGGGGUUCAGGUCCAGGAGGGUCCUUAACUCGAGGACUAAAUUCGGGGAAAUCGUCGGCCGGCUCUAGCGUACCAAGGGGCUGGAUUUUAGGCGAUGGCGUUUCUGCAGCUCUCACGUCCUGCUGUGUGUGGCUCUGACCACCUUAGAGACAUUAACUCUUUUCAUUUUCCAGACAACCUGGGAGGCAGGUAGCACGGGCAUCUGCAUUUUGCUGAUGAAUCGAGGAAGAUCCGGGGAGGCUCAGUAGCUCACUGGAGGCCACAGGCCAGUGCCCGCCCGGCGGCAGGAAUUCCAUUCCCAGGGCUCUGCCUCCUUAGCGUGGCUUUUAAAUUCUACGCGGGGCCUCCGGGUGCAGGAGUGUAAGCUCCCCGCUCCCGCCCACCCGUCUGAUGAGUAGGAUUUUAUGAGGUGAGAUUUCAGCCAGCAUGGAAAACUCCUGUUCUAACCCUUUAAGUCAAGCUGCACACGCCUGUCUCUCAGUCCACCUUCACUUUGGGCAGAUUUCCUGCCGGAAACAUCCACCGAGCUGGUCAGCCUGGGGAGGCCUCGGGCACAGGGGCCGGCCCCCAGCCAGCACUGGGAUUUGUUAUCUCUAAACUCCUGGGGGUCCGCAGGGGCUCCUGGGGGCGAGGCGGCUGGCCAGCGAGGGCUCCUACUGGCCACUAGCUACAGCCACCAAUACGGACCCCACAUGGAGUCACGAGUCCCCAGGGGUCUCAGGAUCACAGGGGCGCAGGUAGAGAAGCAGCUGUAAGUGCCCCUCCCCACCUGCUCACCCGUCCGCCCACUCCCCUCGCCUGGAAGCUGGAACCUUCUCCCAGCAAGAGGCAGGGGCCCCUGUGAGGAAUUGCUCAGACUCUGGCUCUUUCCCAGCCUCUUCCCCUUCAGUUCUCCUGAGAAGCACACAGGGCCCUGGGGCCUCCUCUCUGGAGGCAGUUCUUGGGGUUCUGGGGUUCUGGGGUUCUUCUUUCAGGCAAAAACACAUCUCAUUCCUUUAACUGUUGCUGCAGGUGUGCAUUUCCCUGUGCCGCUGGCCUCCGUCACCUGGAGGGAAGUGUGCUAAAUGGGAUCCUCUGUCACCUCAGGUCCCUGGGGCCCAUGGGUCCUCCUUCCUGGGGCUCCCCGAGGCUGGGAUCCUUCCCCUUUGUGGGCCUUACUGGUGCUGUCCCUCUGUCCCUGAUGCGAGAUGACCUGUGUCUGUCACUCCCAGGUCCCCCGCUGCCUUCCCAGCAUCUAAGCGGACGCUAGCCUCCUGCCGGUGACCCUGCUCUGCCCACCACUCCAUCCGCCUCCGUUUCUGAAAGUGGCCUCGCCGCUCAGGAGCUCUCACCGGACCUCUUUUCUUUUUACACGCAUUAAACGACUAUGCCUGGACCUGUGUUUUGUUUUCUGUUUGUUAAAACACGCGGUAGCCUCAUGCACAUGUUUUAUACUUUGUUUCUCACUUAAAAUACAACUUGGAAUUUUUCACAGGAGAACACAGGUUUCUAUUGAAUUCAUUUUCACAUCUGUAUGGUGUUUUCCUUGUAUAUGGCAAUCUUAAUUUAUUGGACAGAUUCCUUUUUUUUUUUUAAGAUUUUAUUUAUUUGUUUGACAGAGAGAGACACAGCGAGAGAGGGAACACAAGCAGAGGGAGUGGGAGAGGGGGAAGCGGGCUCCUGCUGAGCAGGGAGCCCAAUGCGGGGCUUGAUCCCAGGACCCUGAGACCAUGACCUGAGCUGAAGGCAGAUGCUUAACAACUGAGCCAUCCAGGCGCCCUUAACAGAUUCUUUUUAAAAUAUGUUUUACUUUUUGAAUUCUGUUAUAAUUAGCAUCCAGUGUUGUAUUAGCUUCAGGUGUACAAUACAGCGGGUGACUAAUUCUAUACAUUACCCAGGGCUCAUCCCUACGCAGCCGCCUUCACCCCAUCGCCAAGUUCACCCACCCCACCCCCCAUCUCCCCUCUGGCGACCAUCAGGGUGUUCUUUGUGGUUAAGAGUCCGGUUUUUUUGUUUGUUUGUUUGUUUGUUUGUCUCUUUUCAUUCUUUGUGUUUAGCAGAUUCUUGACUGACCGACAGUUGUUUGGGCUAUUAGCUAUAGUAAUCCUUGCAGCAAAUGCACACCGUUGUGUGUAUGUGUAUACCUAUGUGUGUGAGUGUAUGUGUAUACUUAAAUGUGUUUG